Molecule: ribosomal RNA, 301 nt
Filed under: uncultured bacterium
Lineage: Bacteria
Description: partial 16S ribosomal RNA
Rfam family: Bacterial small subunit ribosomal RNA
Source: RNAcentral
CAGUCGCCACGGUAAUACGUAGGAGGCAAGCGUUGUCCGGAAUUAUUGGGCGUAAAGGGCUCGCAGGCGGUUUCUUAAGUCUGAUGUGAAAGCCCCCGGCUCAACCGGGGAGGGUCAUUGGAAACUGGGAAACUUGAGUGCAGAAGAGGAGAGUGGAAUUCCACGUGUAGCGGUGAAAUGCGUAGAGAUGUGGAGGAACACCAGUGGCGAAGGCGACUCUCUGGUCUGUAACUGACGCUGAGGAGCGAAAGCGUGGGGAGCGAACAGGAUUAGAUACCCCCGUAGUCCCUGUCUCUUAUAA